This 1866-nucleotide long non-coding RNA is filed under the name Serinus canaria (Common canary). Its description in RNAcentral is "lncRNA (ENSSCAG00000006026.1)". The record is from RNAcentral. Lineage: Eukaryota; Metazoa; Chordata; Aves; Passeriformes; Fringillidae.
AUGUGCUGCUGCCUCCACCCCCCCCCCCCGACGUUGUUUUCCUGCUCCAAAUCCGCAGAGUUUUGCCUCAAAAAAGCCCCAAAAGCGGGGAUGGGCCGCAGGUGGGGAGGGGGAUUUGGGAUCUUCCCGGGAGGCUCCUCUGCCUCCCCUCGGGAGGAGAAUUCCAGAGUCAGGUUUGGAGAUUGUCCUGGAGCUUCUGGGGGGAGAAAAGGCGAUUUUGGAGCUCCGUGGAUGGGGAGGGAAGCGGGAAUUUCAUGGGAAUUUCACGGGAAUUUCACGCUGGGAUUGCGGCUUUUCCCUGCUCCUGCUCCAGUCCCAUUUUCCCCACAGAUCCCAGGGCGAUUCCCGGGGUUUUUAUCCCAAAAAUCCCAGCCUGGGCUGCAGGAUCCAGCCUCCCUCUGGAAGUUCAGCCCUGUUUUCCCUGACCCAGCUGCUUUUUCCCUGAUUUUUCCAUGGUCUGGGGCAGAUCCUGAGGUGGAAACGGAUCCAGAACCUUCCGUGGUGUUCUGGAAAAGCCCCAAAAUCAGGAAAUCUCAUCCCAUUCCCAAUUUUUGGAAAAAUGCAGGGGAAACUUGGGAAGCAUCUGUACCAAGGCCUGGAAUUCCCCCUCUGGCGCUGCUUUUUUGGGAUUUGAUCCCAAUUCCUCGGGCUCGUCCUUCCCACGCCGAAAUGGGGCUGGAAAGGGAUUUUGGGGUGUCCUUGGAUAAGGAAAAACCCCAAAAAUCCCUGGAAAAGCAGCUCUGGGGAACUGGAGCCCAUUCCCUGAUCCACGAGGAGCCGGCUCGAGGCAGGAAUCUCCCAAAUUCCGGGGUGGGAAAGGGGAAAACCGAUGGAUUUGGGGGUUCUGAGGAGCUGGGGUGGAUCCAGAGCUCCUGGCACAUCCCUCCAUGGAACCCCAGAAUUCCCAAGGUUCCCCUUCCCUCGCUUUUUAACCUCAGGAUGGGAUUUCUUGGGGGGUGGGAAAUCUGGAAUUCCUUUGGGAUCCCAGGGAUUUCACCUGGAAUUCCUUUGGGAUUCCAGAGAAUUUUCCUGGAAUUCCUUAGGGUUUCCACGGUGUUCACCUGGAAUUCCUUUGGGAUCCUGGGGAAUUUCCCUCAAAUUCCUUUGGGAUCCCGGGGAAUUUCCCUCAAAUUCCUUUGGGAUCUCGGGUCAUUACCUGGAAUUCCUUUGGAAUCCUGGGUUAUUACCUGCAAUUCCCUUGGGAUCCCAGGGUUAUUACCUGGAAUUCCUUUGGGAUCCCAGCUCAUUACCUGGAAUUCCUUUGGGAUCCUGAGGAAUUCACCUGGAAUCCCUUUAAGAUCCCGGGUCUUAACCUGGAAUCCCUUUGGAAUCCUGGGGAAUUCACCUGGAAUUCCUUUGGGAUCCUGGGUCAUUACCUGGAAUUCCUUUGGGAUCCCGGGGUUAUUACCUAGAAUCCUUUUGGGAUCCCAUCUCACUACUUGGAAUUCCUUUGGGAUCCCAGCUCAUUACCUGGAAUUCCUUUGGGAUCCCAGCUCAUUACCUGCAAUUCCCUUGGGAUCCCAGGGUUAUUACCUGGAAUUCCUUUGGGAUCCUGGGUCAUUACCUGGAAUUCCUUUGGGAUCUCAGCUCAUUACCUGCAAUUCCUUUGGGAUCUCAGCUCAUUACCUGCAAUUCCUUUGGGAUCCCAGGGUUAUUACCUGGAAUUCCUUUGGGAUCCCAGCUCACUACUUGGAAUUCCUUUGGGAUCUCAGCUCAUUACCUGCAAUUCCCUUGGGAUCCCAGGGUUAUUACCUGGAAUUCCUUUGGGAUCUCAGCUCAUUACCUGCAAUUCCUUUGGGAUCUCAGCUCAUUACCUGCAAUUCCUUUGGGAUCCCAGCUCACGACCUGGAAUUCCUUUGGGAUCUC